GCGGGGGUCGCCGAGCAUGGCCAAAGGCGUAGGCUUCAGGAGCCUAUCCCGUAGGGGUUCGUGGGUUCAAAUCCCACCCCCCGCACCA
This 88-nucleotide transfer RNA is filed under the name Candidatus Bathyarchaeota archaeon. RNAcentral's name for it is "tRNA-Leu". It matches the Rfam family "tRNA". Rfam says of the family: Transfer RNA (tRNA) molecules are approximately 80 nucleotides in length. Their secondary structure includes four short double-helical elements and three loops (D, anti-codon, and T loops). The record is from RNAcentral. Lineage: Archaea; Thermoproteati; Candidatus Bathyarchaeota.